RNAcentral lists this ribosomal RNA (761 nucleotides) under uncultured bacterium. RNAcentral describes it as "bacterial SSU rRNA". It matches the Rfam family "Bacterial small subunit ribosomal RNA", at positions 28 to 776 of the family's 1533-position model. The record is from RNAcentral.
AUUGAACGCUGGCGGCAGGCUUAACACAUGCAAGUCGGACGGUAACAGGGAGGAAGCUUGCUUUCUUUGCUGACGAGUGGCGGACGGGUGAGUAAUGCUUGGGAAUCUGUUUUAUGGAGGGGGAUAACUACGGGAAACUGUAGCUAAUACCGCGUAAUAUCGAGAGAUUAAAGUGUGGGACCGUAAGGCCACAUGCCAUAGAGUGAGCCCAAGUGGGAUUAGGUAGUUGGUGGGGUAAAGGCCUACCAAGCCGUCGAUCUCUAGCUGGUCUGAGAGGAUGACCAGCCACACUGGGACUGAGACACGGCCCAGACUCCUACGGGAGGCAGCAGUGGGGAAUAUUGCACAAUGGGCGCAAGCCUGAUGCAGCCAUGCCGCGUGAAUGAAGAAGGCCUUCGGGUUGUAAAGUUCUUUCGGUGGUGAGGAAGGUUGUAAUGUUAAUAGCAUUAUAAUUUGACGUUAGCCACAGAAGAAGCACCGGCUAACUCCGUGCCAGCAGCCGCGGUAAUACGGAGGGUGCGAGCGUUAAUCGGAAUAACUGGGCGUAAAGGGCACGCAGGCGGAUACUUAAGUGAGGUGUGAAAGCCCUGGGCUUAACCUAGGAAUUGCAUUUCAUACUGGGUAUCUAGAGUAUUUUAGGGAGGGGUAGAAUUCCACGUGUAGCGGUGAAAUGCGUAGAGAUGUGGAGGAAUACCGAGGGCGAAGGCAGCCCCUUGGGGGAAUACUGACGCUCAUGUGCGAAAGCGUGGGGAGCAAACAGG